RNAcentral lists this ribosomal RNA (497 nucleotides) under uncultured bacterium. RNAcentral's name for it is "partial 16S ribosomal RNA". It matches the Rfam family "Bacterial small subunit ribosomal RNA", at positions 28 to 507 of the family's 1533-position model. The record is from RNAcentral.
GAUGAACGCUGGCGGCGUGCCUAAUACAUGCAAGUCGAGCGAACGGACGAGAAGCUUGCUUCUCUGAUGUUAGCGGCGGACGGGUGAGUAACACGUGGAUAACCUACCUAUAAGACUGGGAUAACUUCGGGAAACCGUAGCUAAUACCGGAUAAUAUUUUAAACCGCAUGGUUCAAAAGUGAAAGACGGUCUUGCUGUCACUUAUAGAUGGAUCCGCGCUGCAUUAGCUAGUUGGUAAGGUAACGGCUUACCAAGGCAACGAUGCAUAGCCGACCUGAGAGGCUGAUCGGCGACACGAGAACGGAGACACGCACAAGACUCCUACGGGAGGCAGCAGUAGGGAAUCUUCCGCAAUGGGCGAAAGCCUGACGGAGCAACGCCGCGUGAGUGAUGAAGGUGUUCGGAUCGUAAAACUCUGUUAUUAGGGAAGAACAUAUGUGUAAGUAACUGUGCACAUCUUGACGGUACCUAAUCAGAAAGCCACGGCUAACUACGUG